This 501-nucleotide ribosomal RNA is filed under the name uncultured bacterium. RNAcentral's name for it is "partial 16S ribosomal RNA". It matches the Rfam family "Bacterial small subunit ribosomal RNA", at positions 30 to 523 of the family's 1533-position model. The record is from RNAcentral.
AUUGAGCGCUGGCGGCAGGCUUAACACAUGUAAGUCGAGCGGGGGAAGGUAGCUUGCUACCGGACCUAGCGGCGGCCGGGUGAGUAAUGCUUAGGAAUCUGCCUAUUAGUGGGGGACAACAUCUCGAAAGGGACGCUAAUACCGAAUAAGUCCUACGGGAGAAAGCAGGGGAACUGCGGACCUUGCGCUAGUAGAUGAGCCUAAGUCGGAGUAGCUAGUUGGUGGGGUAAAGGCCUACCAAGGCGACGAUCUGUAGCGGGUCUGAGAGGAUGAUCCGCCACACUGGGACUGAGACACGGCCCAGACUCCUACGGGAGGCAGCAGUGGGGAAUAUUGGACAAUGGGGGGAACCCUGAUCCAGCCAUGCCGCGUGUGUGAAGAAGGCCUUAUGGUUGUAAAGCACUUUAAGCGAGGAGGAGGCUACUCUAGUUAAUACCUAGGGAUAGUGGACGUUACUCGCAGAAUAAGCACCGGCUAACUCUGUGCCAGCAGCCGCCGUAA